GCCCAGCUAGCUCAGUCGGUAGAGCAACGCCCUGAAAAGGCGUGUGUCGGCAGUUCGAUUCUGUCGCUGGGCACCA
This 76-nucleotide transfer RNA is filed under the name Pseudomonadota bacterium. RNAcentral's name for it is "Proteobacteria bacterium tRNA-Phe". It matches the Rfam family "tRNA". From Rfam's summary of the family: Transfer RNA (tRNA) molecules are approximately 80 nucleotides in length. The record is from RNAcentral. Lineage: Bacteria; Pseudomonadati; Pseudomonadota.